UUUCCAGACUCCUACGGGAGGCAGCAGUGGGGGAUAUUGCACAAUGGGGGAAACCCUGAUGCAGCGACGCCGCGUGUGGGAAGACGGUCCUCUGGAUUGUAAACCACUGUCCCCAGGGACGAAGAUGACGGUACCUGGGGAGGAAGCUCCGGCUAACUACGUGCCAGCAGCCGCGGUAAUACGUAGGGGGCAAGCGUUAUCCGGAUUUACUGGGUGUAAAGGGAGCGUAGACGGAGAAGCAAGUCUGAAGUGAAAGCCCGUGGCUUAACCACGGGACUGCUUUGGAAACUGUUUGACUAGAGUGCUGGAGAGGUAAGUGGAAUUCCUAGCGUAGCGGUGAAAUGCGUAGAUAUUAGGAGGAACACCAGUGGCGAAGGCGGCUUACUGGACAGUAACUGACGUUGAGGCUCGAAAGCGUGGGGAGCAAACAGGAUUAGAUACCCUAGUAA
RNAcentral lists this ribosomal RNA (449 nucleotides) under uncultured bacterium. RNAcentral's name for it is "bacterial SSU rRNA". It matches the Rfam family "Bacterial small subunit ribosomal RNA", at positions 328 to 793 of the family's 1533-position model. The record is from RNAcentral.